This is a long non-coding RNA of Cyprinus carpio carpio, 653 nucleotides long. The record is from Ensembl. NCBI's taxonomy places the organism in Eukaryota, Metazoa, Chordata, Actinopteri, Cypriniformes, Cyprinidae.
GUUCAGCGUACUCUGGCAUAUUUGGUAUCUAUGUUGUCGGCAUAAGCCAAGGACUAUUUUGAUACCAGUUUCAUUGCAAUAGGCUAAUGCAAUAAAAAGUUAUUAGCAUUUUUAUAUAUGUAAUUAUUAAUGGUUAAUGAAUGGUUUAUUACUCUUGACCAAUAAGUGGCGCUGUUACCAAAUUGAUGUGGCAUGGUCAGUGUGAGGUGACAAUGGCACCUACAAAGUUUGGUGCAAAAAUGUCAAAGCUUUGCCGAGAUACAGCCUCAGAUGUGUUUUGGCAUCUUACGAACAAAUUCGUUGAUGCGCUAAACGAAAACCGUUUUGUAUAUCAACACGAAUUCCAUAACUUUUUGUCAGCUUGGUCUGAAGAUGAUCCGAACCAAAUUUGGUGAAAAUCGGACUAACGGUCUAGGAGGAGUUCGAAAAAGUAGGUUUUCAACUUUAAUCAAAAUGGAGGACAGGAAGUAUGGCCAAUUUUGGAAUAAUUGGUAUCGAUGUUCUCGGCAUGACCCAAAGAAUAUAGAGACAUAACUUUCAUUGCAAUAGUCUAAUUUUUUCAAAAGUUAUUAGCAUUUUUAAGAUAUUUCAUUAUAACUUUUGACCACAAGGUGGCGCUGCCACCAAACUUUUUGAGUAGCUUCAGGGCAUGG